RNAcentral lists this transfer RNA (62 nucleotides) under Acidimicrobiaceae bacterium. RNAcentral's name for it is "tRNA-Ala". It matches the Rfam family "tRNA", at positions 6 to 65 of the family's 71-position model. From Rfam's summary of the family: Transfer RNA (tRNA) molecules are approximately 80 nucleotides in length. Their secondary structure includes four short double-helical elements and three loops (D, anti-codon, and T loops). Further hydrogen bonds mediate the characteristic L-shaped molecular structure. tRNAs have two regions of fundamental functional importance: the anti-codon, which is responsible for specific mRNA codon recognition, and the 3' end, to which the tRNAs corresponding amino acid is attached (by aminoacyl-tRNA synthetases). tRNAs cope with the degeneracy of the genetic code in two manners: having more than one tRNA (with a specific anti-codon) for a particular amino acid; and 'wobble' base-pairing, i.e. permitting non-standard base-pairing at the 3rd anti-codon position. The record is from RNAcentral. Lineage: Bacteria; Bacillati; Actinomycetota; Acidimicrobiia; Acidimicrobiales; Acidimicrobiaceae.
UAUAGCUCAGUUGGUAGAGCGCUUCCAUGGCAUGGAAGAGGUCAGGGGUUCAAUUCCCCUUA